This 376-nucleotide ribosomal RNA is filed under the name Nematoda sp. RNAcentral describes it as "bacterial SSU rRNA". It matches the Rfam family "Eukaryotic small subunit ribosomal RNA", at positions 252 to 626 of the family's 1831-position model. The record is from RNAcentral. Lineage: Eukaryota; Metazoa; Nematoda.
CUGAAUAACUGACCAAAUUGAUUCGGUCUUGCACCCGCAAUGUAUCUUUCAAGUGUCUGCCUGAUCAACUUUCUAUGGAAGGUUAUGCGCCCACCAUGGUUGUAACGGGUAACGGACAAUUAAGGUUCGACUCCCGAGAGGGAGCCUGACUAACAGCUACCACUUCCAAAGAAGGAAGGAAGCGCGCAAAUUACCCAUUCUCUGCACGAGGAGGUAGUGACUAAAAAUAACGAGACGGGUCUCUUCUGACAGCCGUCCUCGGAAUGAGAACAACAUAAAUCCUUUAACUAGGACCUAGCGGAGGGCAGGUCUGGCGCCUGCAGCCGCGGUAAUUCCAGCUCCGCCCGUGUAUAUCUAUGCUGCUGGCGUUAAAUAG